Molecule: ribosomal RNA, 484 nt
Filed under: uncultured bacterium
Lineage: Bacteria
Description: partial 16S ribosomal RNA
Rfam family: Bacterial small subunit ribosomal RNA
Source: RNAcentral
AUUGAACGCUGGCGGCAGGCCUAACACAUGCAAGUCGAGCGGAUGAAGGGAGCUUGCUCCUGGAUUCAGCGGCGGACGGGUGAGUAAUGCCUAGGAAUCUGCCUGGUAGUGGGGGCUAACGUCCGGAAAAGGGCGCUAAUACCGCAUCCGUCCUGCGGGAGAAAGUGGGGGAUCUUCGGACCUCACGCUACCAGAUUAGCCUAGGUCGGAAUAGCUAGUUGGUGGGGUAAAGGCCUACCAAGGCGACGACCCGUAACUGGUCUGAGAGGUUGAUCAGUCACACUGGAACUGAGACACGGUCCAGACUCCUACGGGAAGCAGCAGUGGGGAAUAUUGGACAAUGGGCGAAAGCCUGAUCCAGCCAUGCCGCGUGUGUGAAGAAGGUCUUCGGAUUGUAAAGCACUUUAAGUUGGGAGGAAGGGCAGUAAGUUAAUACCGUGCUGUUUUGACGGUACCAACAGAAUAAGCACCGGCUAACUUCGUG